UACGGAGGGUGCAAGCGUUGUCCGGAUUUAUUGGGUUUAAAGGGUGCGUAGGCGGCCCUGUAAGUCAGUGGUGAAAUACUGCAGCUUAACUGUAGCAUUGCCAUUGAUACUGUAGGGCUUGAGUACAGAUGAGGUAGGCGGAAUUGAUGGUGUAGCGGUGAAAUGCAUAGAUACCAUCAAGAACACCGAUUGCGAAGGCAGCUUACUAAACUGUAACUGACGCUGAGGCACGAAAGCGUGGGGAUCGAACAGG
RNAcentral lists this ribosomal RNA (253 nucleotides) under uncultured bacterium. Its description in RNAcentral is "partial 16S ribosomal RNA". It matches the Rfam family "Bacterial small subunit ribosomal RNA", at positions 524 to 776 of the family's 1533-position model. The record is from RNAcentral.